This 370-nucleotide ribosomal RNA is filed under the name uncultured soil bacterium. RNAcentral describes it as "bacterial SSU rRNA". It matches the Rfam family "Bacterial small subunit ribosomal RNA", at positions 26 to 388 of the family's 1533-position model. The record is from RNAcentral.
AGAUUGAACGCUGGCGGCAUGCCUUACACAUGCAAGUCGAACGGCAGCACGGGAGCAAUCCUGGUGGCGAGUGGCGAACGGGUGAGUAAUACAUCGGAACGUGCCCAAUCGUGGGGGAUAACGCGAGCGAAAGCUGUGCUAAUACCGCAUAGGAUCUAACGGAUGAAAGCAGGGGAUCGCAAGACCUUGCGCGAAUGGAGCGGCCGAUGGCAGAGUUAGGUAGUUGGUGAAGGUAAAGGCUCAACCAAGCCUUCGAUCUGUAGCUGGUCUGAGAGACGACAGCCACACGUGGACUGAGACACGGCCAGACCUCGUAGGAGGCAGCGAGGUGGGGUAAUUUGGAACAAGUACGGGACGAAACGCCGUAGAC